RNAcentral lists this ribosomal RNA (459 nucleotides) under uncultured bacterium. RNAcentral's name for it is "bacterial SSU rRNA". It matches the Rfam family "Bacterial small subunit ribosomal RNA", at positions 28 to 507 of the family's 1533-position model. The record is from RNAcentral.
GAUGAACGUUGGCGGUGUGCCUAAUACAUGCAAGUCGAACGGAGUUAGUAGCAAUACUGGCUCAGUGGCGAACGGGUGAGUAACGCGUUGGUGAUCUGCCUUGAAGUGUGGAAUAACGUUUCGAAAGGAACGCUAAUACCGCAUGUGCUCUCGAUUUUCAGAAAGUUGAGAGUAAAGGAUUUAUUCGCUUCGGGAGGGGCCUGCGUCCCAUCAGCUAGUUGGUAGGGUAAUAGCCUACCAAGGCGAUGACGGGUAGGGGACCUGAGAGGGUGGCCCCCCACAAUGGAACUGAAACACGGUCCAUACACCUACGGGUGGCAGCAGUAGGGAAUAUUAGUAAUGGGCGAAAGCCUGAACUAGCAACGCCGCGUGUGCGAAGAAGGCCUUCGGGUUGUAAAGCACUUUUAGAGAGGAUGAGGAAGGACGGUACUCUCAGAAUAAGUCUCGGCUAACUACGUG